UUUGACAAGUUCGCUUUUAAAGAGUAAAAAAAAGCAUCUUUUAUACCUUUUGCCACAGGUGAUCAUGGUGCGUUGGCAAUAGUUCCCAAUCAACGCAGAAUUUGACCGGAAAUGAUUAGAGCCUUUUGGUGGAACGCAAAACGAACGAUGGGAGCAGAGUUGAAAGAUUCUUAAGUUGAUAAAAACGUGAUUUUUUUCAUUUCAGCAAUCUAUUUAUGGACCCUACGGGGAUCCGAAGGGUCUCAUUCAAUGCCCCUCUACCAGUUCUACUAGGUCGAGUUUAGUAUUUGGAAAUUAUGCAUUUUUUGAAUUAAUUGCAAUUUAUAAGUCCCUGAAAAUCUACUCUUAGGGCUAGCUCAGGUCCAGGAUGAUUUAGCUUCUAAAGAAAUAUGUGUUUUUGAUUGAAAUUUAGCUUGGAUGCCUACUUUUGAGACCACCGAACCGAUCAUUCUAUAAAUCUCGGGGGAGAUUAAGAUUUUCAAAGGUAACAAAUGUGUUUCUUUGUAAUAGCCCAAAUAAGAAUCUGAAAUUUUUGUUUUAAUUUUAUUUCCGAAUCCAGACCAAAAUGGAAAACGAAGUGUUAGAAAAGUUUUUUUUCAUGAGGAGAGUCGGCAGAGCAGGCAAGAGAUAUGAAACGGUUUGCUUAGUCUCAUUUCCAGCCCAAAAGAAGUUAAAGUAAAAGUUUUGUCAACACACACCAGCCCGGCCCGGCUCUGAUGAUAUGCAAGCUCCAGUCAGCCUCCAAAGUCCGUCUCCACCGCAGAGAAGGGGAAAAGAUCGACCCCGGGACAAGUGACAGGUAAGUAAGACUCGAUUUUGAGAUGCAAGGGGUGAAGAGAGAGAGAGAGAGAGAGAGAGAGAGAGAGAGAGGCCCAUCCACCAUAUCUUCCCCUUAAAUCCUGAUCCCACUUCGCAAUUUCCAGCCGAAAAUCGCCAAAAUCCAGCUGCAACAAAUUCACCGUCUUUUCUAGCUGAUAUUUUAAUUAGAAUGCAAGAAUUAAGUUGAGUAACCAACCACAGCUGAAGAGAGCUCCCAAGUGAUGUGUAGCAGGCCUAAUGUUAAAAAAAGAUAACCAAAUUUCCACUUGCACUUUUUAAAAUAGGCAAAGUUCGGCUACAGAAACACUACUUCACACAAGAUUAUUUUUGGUCUUGCCAGUGACCAUGAGAUUUUCCGCGAAUUUUCGGCAGUUGCGCGAGUUUUGACAAAUACUAUUUUAACUCCGAAAGAGACGUCGAAACGUGUAUUUUCUUGAUUCCAGAUUUAAUUCGUCAGCAAAUCUGUCUAUUGGGGUGUAAAAAUCCACCAUUGAUUAAUUAAAGCAGAAAUGGCAAAGACCCCUCUUUUAUAGAAAAAGAGAUUUGCAAGUUUUCGCAAAUCGCUCAAAUCCAUUUGAAACAGAGACCGAAAAUGAUCGCAAAUCGAGCUGAAAAACGAACCAAAACUGGCAAAAAAUGAAAAGGAUGAAUUCGGCCUUGCUUAAAUUUAAAAACCAUGCGAUGCUUUGGUACAAUAUCGAUCGUGGCUGUUGGCAAGGUGAUCAAAUUAAUUCACGAGGGCCAUUUGUAGCCAUUUACACUCACCGGUUCGCGGCUUUCCUGGAUUUACUGCUCCGAAAGCACGUCUCCGGCGCCGCGCAAACCGGACAGUCCGACGACACAACACUCGCCCUGCACUCUUUUAAUAUUUUUUCGGCACUGCACUCGCGACAAACACCUGAAAAUCCGUCUGAAAACACUCGAAUGUCCUGGCGCACAGAAAGCAAGACUGGAAACUGAAAAAGUAUGCAGAAAAACAGCUGCAUGAUGAUUGGCCGCUGCGAUCAGCCGGUGAACCGAUCGACCAAUCGCGUGAGCCGUCUCCAAACUGGCGCGAAACGAGCGCAAGCACUGCACCCGGUGACGUCACAAGUCACAACGCAACAUGGAAAUGCGGCAAAACAUGCAUUAAUUUUGCAAAUAUAAUAAAAUGGGAGGGAAACCAAAUUUAAGCAAAUUAAAUGGAUCGAUUUCAGACACUUUGCUAAAUUUUUGGAAGGGAAUUGCAGGUUUAAUUUUUUCAAAAAUUUGUUACUCCAAGCAGAACUGAUAUCUAUGCACGUAAAAAAUUGCCCUAAUUUCGUUUCCAUGCCAAUGAAACGUUAAUGUUACCUUUUCCAAAUAUUUAAUUUUUGAAAUUUAUGUGUCUUGUAAUUAAUUCUUCCGUAUUUGCGCGGUUUCUUAAUUUCAGUAAAUAAUUUUGUCGGUGUGUUCGCUUGGUCAGUACAACAUUGUUAUUUAAAAAAUAAAAUGAUAUGCAUAAAUUUUAUCCAUUCCGAAAUUUAGAUCAGUCACAAUUGACUCUUGAAAUGCGCAACCUGCGGUUUUUUAUAAUAAAAAAUAAUUUAAACUUGCGAUUGAACCGAUUUUUAUUUGUCCUCUUUCGAUUAAUUUUUUUGUGAUUUUUUUUCUUUUCAAAAUAAAACUGGCAUUUUUUAGUUUAAUAGACCAGAUGAUAUGCGUUAAAAAUAAAUUUGAACUCAUUUUAAUUAAAAUUUCCUUAGCUAAAAUCUCAUAGGAAUGUAGUUAAUUUCUAAAAUUGUCUGCCGCGAGAGGGAGUGUUGAAGAAGUGCAGCCGAGAUCAAAUUAAUUAUUUGAAAUGGGUUGAAACUAAAGAAAAGUCGAGAUUUUGGUCAUUCAUCGCGAUUAAUUUUAUUUUUGAGGGGUGGAUUAGGGGUGAGAAUGGGUGAAUCACAGACAUGGAAGGUGGUGUCCCUGGAGACUGGAGAGAAGAGGCGGCACUCGGCCUCGCUCGGCUUACAGCUGGCGGCGCGAGUCGCGGAGAAGCGGCGCGACGCCUGCUUCCGCGCCACGACGCUGCAACACGAGACCAUAAUUAAAAUUGAAACUAAUCUAAGACGUUAAAAACAUCCUACCCUAAAUCAGGGUAUACAAAGAUUGAUUCUUUCGAAGAAAUAUUUUUAAAAAAGAAAUAAAAUUCUGAACAAUUUAAAGGGUAUUUAGCCUGAGAUCAGGAGAUGGGAACUUUUAGCGUGAAGGUAAGUGAAUUUGGAUUAGUUAACCUGAAGGUUGUGUCGUCAGUGUUGCUGGAGGUGCGCACCUGGCGCGAAGAAUACGACUUGCAGCCGCUCGACACCGACGUCUCGGACGAAAAGGUGGAGUUGCCGUGCUGCUGCUCAACCUCCGAGUCGCUGCCCAGGGUGCCCUUUUCUUCGCACCUUGCUCCACCUCCUGCUUCUGCCAAUCAGGGUCAACCCUCGUCAGCUCAGCGACCUCCUCCUGCAUCAGCGCAUAUUUCUGCAAAUUAAAAAUAUUUUUCAGGGUUGGUUUUUCAAUUUUUGGUUUAAAAUGCUGUUUUGGCAAAUUUAACACCUUAUAAAUCGGGAUUUUGAUUACUUGGAAAGCUGAAAAUUGGCAUGGCUAGAGAAAACCAACCAGAUAUUAAACUCAGAAGGUUUCAGACCUCUCAGGUUGGUAAGACAAUUUUUAUUCACAGUUUAAAAUCGUGAAACACGAGUUUUUUCGCCUCCAUUUCCACCAAAUCAGCAUUUUUAAACCCUUAUAAAAGGAGCCCUGAGAGGAAUAGAGGUCUGAAACUUCGUUUGUUGGUUAAACUGCACCCUGAUAUCAGGUUAAAGUGAUUUUAAAUUAACUACAUACUUUUAUUAAAUUAAAAUAAUAAUAAUUUUAAAAACGCAAAAAACGACAUUUCAACAUUUUCUAUUUUAAUAGAAAUAUUGCCACCUGAACACGGCCGACUUUCCGACGUCGACGACCUGAUGCUGAGGCUGGAUGUGGGCCGGAAGCGGCGCCGUCAUCGUCGGCGCCACCUGCACCGUCUCCUCGCCAGCCGAAUUAUUCACUCAGCACAAAAACUUUCCACGGUCAGGGUAAACCGCACCUUUUAGAUUAAUAAGAGACCUGGCGCCACCAGGGAGAGUCGCUGACCUACGGCCACCGGCAGCAAUUGCUCGCGGUCCUCAAGGAGAGAAGCAUAUUUUUGCUAUCGGAGAGGAGCUUGGCAGGAGAGAAAAAAGGCAGCAGGAAAGUGGCAGCUGGAAUAAAAAGCAGCGAUCGACGAGAGGAGACACGAAGAGAAUAUGUCGCGAUGAAUAAUUUUGAAGGAAGCAAGUGCAACCGCCUAUAUGAAUUAAGGUGGUACCUUGAGGACGAGGACCGCGAGCAUCAAUUGCUGCCGGUGGCCGUAGGUCAGCGACUUUCCCUGGUGCCGCCAGGUCUUUUAAGAAUCUCAAAGGUUCGUCUGGAGGACCGCGGAAAGUUUUAGCGCUGGCUGAAUAAUUCGGCUGGCGAGGAGACGGUUCAGGUGGCGCCGACAAUGACGGUGCCGCUUCUGGUCCACGUCCAACCUCAGGAUCAGAUCGUCGACGUCGGAAAGGCGGCCGUGUUCAGACACGUGAUUAGCUGUUGCGUGAGGAGCUCGCUGACCUGUCGAGGGUUGACCCUGAUCGGCACAAGCAGGAAGCAGCCUUUGGGCCCUCCGAUCCGGCUCGACACGUCCUCAGCAGACAGACCUCCGGUCCGGCGGCCGCCUCGGCGAGAUAUUCGCGCCGCACGCGUUUUUGCUUCGCUUCUUUUGAAUUAUGUUGAAAAAACCCUGAGCGGAUGUUGAACAAUUGCGAAAAGUUUCACUGGAAUCGAUCUCAGGAUGCGGUAACCUGUCAAAGGUCAUCAGUAUAUAAAUUUUUUGGCUAUUUCUUAAAAUUAUUUUUAUAAUCUGUGUUUGUAAUAUUUUAAUCGCACGCGUAAUUAAAUUUUAGAUAAUUUUCUAGUUAAUAAUGCAAGUUUGUCGUGUUUCAAGGAAGGAAAUCACAAAUUACAGCUAAAAAUCCGGUUGUUAAAUUGAUCAAUACAAAUAAAUACACGUAUUAAAGAAUUUAGAUAAAGGCUUAAUUAAUUACCAUCGACUCUUUCA
Long non-coding RNA from Cloeon dipterum, 4933 nucleotides. RefSeq lists it as uncharacterized. The transcript is spliced from 6 exons. Lineage: Eukaryota; Metazoa; Arthropoda; Insecta; Ephemeroptera; Baetidae. The record is from RefSeq and is a predicted model, not a curated record.